Non-coding RNA from Erinaceus europaeus (western European hedgehog), 366 nucleotides. NCBI's taxonomy places the organism in Eukaryota, Metazoa, Chordata, Mammalia, Eulipotyphla, Erinaceidae. The record is from Rfam.
AGUGUACUCUACUUUUUUAGUAGAUCCGGGUAAAUAUUGAUUUGCCCCCAGUUUACCUAUCUAGCCCUAUUCCCCAGCCAUUUGCAAGCUAAGGAACUGGCCUCUGGUAGGGACCUGAUUUUUGUCUUACUUUCCGGCCCAUUUGCCCCCCUUCCUUCCUCCAAGUGGCAUUGUAAAACUCCCAGUGACAAAGAGACAGGGUCGGGUUCUGAGACCUCAGUUCCUGAGGACUUGAGUGCUGUUUUACAUACAGGUUAGACGCACGGCUAGAGGCCAAGGUCAAGUUGAAUGUUGCAGUCUAGCCUACGUGAGAACUGCCUGAAAGCCUAAGGACUCAGACAUCUGUGAAAGGCCUACGUCCCCUCA